AUGCAGUGUACCCGCGGCAAGACGGAAAGACCCCGUGAACCUUUACUAUAGCUUGACACUGAACAUUGAGCCUUGAUGUGUAGGAUAGGUGGGAGGCUUUGAAGUGUGGACGCCAGUCUGCAUGGAGCCGACCUUGAAAUACCACCCUUUAAUGUUUGAUGUUCUAACGUGGACCCGUUACCCGGGUUGCGGACAGUGUCUGGUGGGUAGUUUGACUGGGGCGGUCUCCUCCUAAAGAGUAACGGAGGAGCACGAAGGUUGGCUAAUCCUGGUCGGACAUCAGGAGGUUAGUGCAAUGGCAUAAGCCAGCUUGACUGCGAGCGUGACGGCGCGAGCAGGUGCGAAAGCAGGUCAUAGUGAUCCGGUGGUUCUGAAUGGAAGGGCCAUCGCUCAACGGAUAAAAGGUACUCCGGGGAUAACAGGCUGAUACCGCCCAAGAGUUCAUAUCGACGGCGGUGUUUGGCACCUCGAUGUCGGCUCAUCACAUCCUGGGGCUGAAGUAGGUCCCAAGGGUAUGGCUGUUCGCCAUUUAAAGUGGUACGCGAGCUGGGUUUAGAACGUCGUGAGACAGUUCGGUCCCUAUCUGCCGUGGGCGCUGGAGAACUGAGGGGGGCUGCUCCUAGUACGAGAGGACCGGAGUGGACGCAUCACUGGUGUUCGGGUUGUCAUGCCAAUGGCACUGCCCGGUAGCUAAAUGCGGAAGAGAUAAGUGCUGAAAGCAUCUAAGCACGAAACUUGCCCCGA
This 744-nucleotide ribosomal RNA is filed under the name Salmonella enterica subsp. enterica serovar Muenchen. RNAcentral describes it as "partial 23S ribosomal RNA". It matches the Rfam family "Bacterial large subunit ribosomal RNA", at positions 2059 to 2802 of the family's 2925-position model. The record is from RNAcentral. RNAcentral also lists the same sequence under 3 other names. Lineage: Bacteria; Pseudomonadati; Pseudomonadota; Gammaproteobacteria; Enterobacterales; Enterobacteriaceae.